CCGGUUGAUCCUGCCAGAGGUUACUGCUAUCGGAGUUCGAUUAAGCCAUGCGAGUCUAAAGGUUUCUUCGGAAGCCUUGGCGGACUGCUCAGUAACACGUGGAUAACCUGCCCUUAGGUCUGGCAUAACCCCGGGAAACUGGGGAUAAUACCGGAUAGAUCAGGGGUCGCUGGAAUGCGCCCUGAUCCAAAGCUCCGGCGCCUAAGGAUGGGUCUGCGACCUAUCAGGUUGUAGUGGGUGUAAUGUACCUACUAGCCGACGACGGGUACGGGUUGUGAGAGCAAGAGCCCGGAGAUGGAUUCUGAGACACGAAUCCAGGCCCUACGGGGUGCAGCAGGCGCGAAACCUUUACAAUGUGCGAAAGCAUGAUAAGGGAACUCCGAGUGCCAGCAUUAAAUGUUGGCUGUCCUUGUGCCUAAAACGCACAAGAUAGCAAGGGCCGGGUAAGACCGGUGCCAGCCGCCGCGGUAACACCGGCGGCCCGAGUGGUAGUCGCUAUUAUUGGGUCUAAAGGGUCCGUAGCCGGUUUGAUAAGUCCUCUGGGAAAUCUGAUUGCUCAACAAUCAGGCUGCCAAGGGAUACUGUCAAACUUGAGACCGGGAGAGGUAAGAGGUACUUCAGGGGUAGGAGUGAAAUCUUAUAAUCCUU
This 648-nucleotide ribosomal RNA is filed under the name uncultured archaeon. Its description in RNAcentral is "bacterial SSU rRNA". It matches the Rfam family "Archaeal small subunit ribosomal RNA", at positions 4 to 650 of the family's 1478-position model. The record is from RNAcentral.